AAGGAAUUAAAAGCAGUUGUUGGCAAAAGCAGACUUUACAUCGUGCCACGAGCCACGGUCUUGCAGGUAACAUCACCACCCUCUGCCAUGUUCAAGAAUUCAUUCCCACCACUCGCAGCUCCAGCAGUAGAUGAGCCCUCACAAGUUGGUUUCAGAUCAGGUGGCAUCCACAUCCUCUGCCAUAUCCAUAAAUUCAUUCCCACCGCUCUCAAUUGCUCCAGUACAAGAUGAGACUGCGCCUGUGGCUGAGAGUACCCAAGCUCAAAGUGUGUUUG
Molecule: long non-coding RNA, 275 nt
Organism: Perca fluviatilis (European perch)
Lineage: Eukaryota; Metazoa; Chordata; Actinopteri; Perciformes; Percidae
Exons: 3
Source: RefSeq, a predicted model, not a curated record